UGCGUAGGUGGUCAGGUAAGUCGGAUGUGAAAUCUCCGAGCUCAACUCGGAAAUGGCAUUGGAAACUACCUGGCUCGAGGGUUGGAGGGGGGACUGGAAUGCUUGGUGUAGCAGUGAAAUGCGUAGAUAUCAAGCGGAACACCAGUGGCGAAGGCGAGUCCCUGGACAACUCCUGACACUGAGGCACGAAAGCUAGGGGAGCAAACA
RNAcentral lists this ribosomal RNA (207 nucleotides) under uncultured bacterium. RNAcentral's name for it is "partial 16S ribosomal RNA". It matches the Rfam family "Bacterial small subunit ribosomal RNA", at positions 568 to 774 of the family's 1533-position model. The record is from RNAcentral.